GACGAACGCUGGCGGCGUGCUUAACACAUGCAAGUCGAACGGAAAGGCCUCUUUCGGGGGGUACUCGAGUGGCGAACGGGUGAGUAACACGUGAGUAACCUGCCCUUGACUUUGGGAUAACUUCAGGAAACUGGGGCUAAUACCGGAUAGGAGCUCCUGCUGCAUGGUGGGGGUUGGAAAGUUUCGGCGGUUGGGGAUGGACUCGCGGCUUAUCAGCUUGUUGGUGGGGUAGUGGCUUACCAAGGCUUUGACGGGUAGCCGGCCUGGGAGGGUGACCGGCCACAUUGGGACUGGGAUACGGCCCAGACUCCUACGGGAGGCAGAAGUGGGGAAUAUUGAACAAUGGGUGGAAGCCUGAUGCAGCAACGCCGUGUGCGGGAUGACGGCCUUCGGGUUGGAAACCGCUUUCGCUCAUGACGAAGCUUUGUGUGACGGUAGUGGGUAAAGAAGUACCGGCUAACUACGUG
Molecule: ribosomal RNA, 467 nt
Filed under: uncultured bacterium
Lineage: Bacteria
Description: partial 16S ribosomal RNA
Rfam family: Bacterial small subunit ribosomal RNA
Source: RNAcentral